RNAcentral lists this ribosomal RNA (494 nucleotides) under uncultured bacterium. Its description in RNAcentral is "partial 16S ribosomal RNA". It matches the Rfam family "Bacterial small subunit ribosomal RNA", at positions 28 to 507 of the family's 1533-position model. The record is from RNAcentral.
GACGAACGCUGGCGGCGUGCUUAACACAUGCAAGUCGAACGGAAAGGCCUGCUUUCCCUUGUGGAUUGCGGGUACUCGAGUGGCGAACGGGUGAGUAACACGUGAGUGAUCUGCCCCCAACUUGGGUAUAAGCCUGGGAAACUGGGUCUAAUUCCCAAUAGGACUGCAGGGUGGUGCCUGUGGUGGAAAACGAUUUUCUAGUGGUUGGGGAUGAGCUCGCGGCCUAUCAGCUUGUUGGUGGGGUAAUGGCCUACCAAGGCGGCGACGGGUAGCCGGCCUGAGAGGGUGGACGGCCACAUUGGGACUGAGAUACGGCCCAGACUCCUACGGGAGGCAGCAGUGGGGAAUAUUGCACAAUGGGCGGAAGCCUGAUGCAGCGACGCCGCGUGGGGGAUGACGGCCUUCGGGUUGUAAACUCCUUUCGACCGCGAGGAAGCCACCUGGUUGGAAGGGUGGUGACGGUAGUGGUAGAAGAAGCACCGGCUAACUACGUG